GACGAACGCUGGCGGCGUGCUUAACACAUGCAAGUCACGGGGGUCUCGCAAGAGAGAACCGGCGAACGGGUGCGUAACACGUGAACAACCUGCCGUUGUGAGGGGGAGUAGCCGGGCUAACGCCCGGGUAAUACCGCAUACGCUGCCCGAGGGGAGUCCCUUGGGGAGGAAAGCCAUGGCGCAAGCGAUGGCGCACGACGAGGGGUUCGCGGCCUAUCAGCUAGUUGGGGGG
This 232-nucleotide ribosomal RNA is filed under the name uncultured bacterium. Its description in RNAcentral is "partial 16S ribosomal RNA". It matches the Rfam family "Bacterial small subunit ribosomal RNA", at positions 28 to 256 of the family's 1533-position model. The record is from RNAcentral.